Molecule: non-coding RNA, 137 nt
Organism: Gossypium raimondii (Peruvian cotton)
Lineage: Eukaryota; Viridiplantae; Streptophyta; Magnoliopsida; Malvales; Malvaceae
Source: Rfam
UGUUAAAAAUUUCAUUCUCUUUUGGUGUUAAAAACUGGUGUGAAUAACUAGAUAGUUACACGUGAUAUGUCACGUAUACCUCAUUCUGACAUACAUGAACUGGUUUUUAACAGUAGAAAUGGAUGAAAUUUUUUAUG